AGGCCAGUAGCUCAAUUUGGUAGAGCACGCGUCUCCAAAACGCGCGGUUGUGGGUUCAAGUCCUGCCUGGCCUGCCU
Molecule: transfer RNA, 77 nt
Filed under: Chloroflexi bacterium RBG_16_63_12
Lineage: Bacteria; Bacillati; Chloroflexota
Description: tRNA-Trp
Rfam family: tRNA
About the family: Transfer RNA (tRNA) molecules are approximately 80 nucleotides in length. Their secondary structure includes four short double-helical elements and three loops (D, anti-codon, and T loops).
Source: RNAcentral